RNAcentral lists this ribosomal RNA (389 nucleotides) under uncultured bacterium. RNAcentral's name for it is "bacterial SSU rRNA". It matches the Rfam family "Bacterial small subunit ribosomal RNA", at positions 28 to 417 of the family's 1533-position model. The record is from RNAcentral.
GACGAACGCUGGCGGCGUGCUUAACACAUGCAAGUCGAGCGGUAAGGCCCUUUCGGGGGUACGACGAGCGGCGAACGGGUGAGUAACACGUGGGUGACCUGCCCUCAGCUCUGGGAUAAGCCUGGGAAACUGGGUCUAAUACCGGAUAUGACUCCAUGACGCAUGUUGUGGGGUGGAAAGCCUUGUGCGGCUGAGGAUGGGCCCGCGGCCUAUCAGCUUGUUGGUGGGGUGANGGCCUACCAAGGCGACGACGGGUAGCCGGCCUGAGAGGGCGACCGGCCACACUGGGACUGAGACACGGCCCAGACUCCUACGGGAGGCAGCAGUGGGGAAUCUUGCGCAAUGGGCGAAAGCCUGACGCAGCGACGCCGCGUGAGGGAUGACGGCCU